AGUGGUAGAGUUCAUUUUGAAUGCAAGUUGCUUGUAUUAUGAAUUUGUAUUUGUCUUGGUUGUAUAUCUUGCAUAAUAGUUUAGCUAGAGUUUUAGCAUUUACUGUAUUUAUUAAAAUGAUUUCUUUUGUAAAGCAUUCAUAGCUUGAGCAGCAGCAUUUUUCAACAGUGUAACUGAGUAAGUGUGAAUGCAGAAGAAAAUAUUGUCUGCCCUAUUAAACUUGGUGCCAAUUAGCGGCGUUUACAAUGUUCAUUGUGCCUGUUAAUGUAGUUUUAGUUAUUGGAGCUUUUGUUAACACUAGACUUGUUUUUGAGUUACAUUAUUAAGAGUGUUGGAAUUCAUUUAAGUUUAAUGUAGUUCUAGUGCUUGUAAAAUGGUGCCCUUUCAUUUAGUAUGAUUUUUUUCAAACCGUGUCUUCAAGUACUAUAUUAUUAUCCUUCAGAAGAAUUUUAGGCUGGCUGGAUGCGGUGGCUCAUGCCUGUAAUUCCCAGCUGUAGGGGCCAGCCCUACAGGGUCUGUGGGUUUUUCUCCUCGUGUGCGGAGACAAGAGAUGGUAGAAAUAAAGACACAAGACAAAGAGAUAGAAUAAAAGACGGCUGGGCCCGGGGGACCACUACCACCAAGAUGCGGAGACCAGUAGUGGCCCCAAAUGCCAGAUUGAGCUGUUAUUUAUUAGAUACAAGGCAAGGGGCAGGGUAAGGAGUAUGAGUCGUCUCCAAUGACAGGUAAGGUCACCCAAGUCACGUGUCCACUGGACAGGGGACCCUUCUCUGUUUGGCAGCUGAGGCGGAGAGAGAGACGUGACAGCUUACGCCAUUACUUCUGCAUUUCAAAGACUUUUAGUACUUUCACUAAUUCUGCUACUGCUAUCUAAAAGGCGGAGCCAGGUGUUCAGGACUAGGAGCGUGACCGCUGAAGCACAGCAUCACAGGGAGACGGUUAGGCCUCCAGAUGACUGCAGGCAGGCCUGACUCAUGUCAGGCCCUCCACAAGAGGUGGUGGAGCAGAGUCUUCUCUAACUCCCCCGGGGAAAGGGAGACUCCCUUUCCCGGUCGGCUAAGUAACGAGCGCCUUUUCUUUUCUUUUUUUUUUUUUUUACUCUUAGGUAUAAAGUUUAUUGAGAUUUUUAGAUAGCAAUGAAAAUAAGCAUGACAUAUCUCAGAUCUAUAGGAAAUCAGGGAAGAUUAAACAAAAAUAAAAAGUAUAUUUAAAAAGAGUGCCUUUUCUAGGCACUGACGCUACCGCUAGACCACGGUCCGUUAGGUGACAGGCAUCUUCCCAGACGCGGGCGUUACCGCUAGACCAAGGAGCCCUCUAGUGGCCCUGUCCGGGCAUAACAGAAGGCUCACACUCUUCUGGUCACUUCUCACCCUGUCCCUUUAGCUCCUAUCUCUGUAUGGCCUGGUUUUUCCUAGGUUAUAAUUGUAGAACAAAGAUUAUUAUAAUACUGGAAUAAAGAGUAGUGCUACAAACUAAUGAAGAAUGAUAUUCAUAUGUAAUCAUAUCUAUAAUCUAUUUCUAGUAUAACUAUUCUUAUUCUAUAUAUUUUCCUCAUUAUACUGGAACAGCUCGUGCCCUCUGUCUCUUGCCUUGGCACCUGGGUGGCUUGCCGCCCACACCCAGCACUUUGGGAGGCCGAGGCAGGUGGAUCACUUGAGGUCAGGAGUUAGAGACUAGCCUGGCCAACAUGGUGAAACCCCAUCCCUAGUAAAAAUACAAAAAAUUAUCCGGGCGUGGUGGCAUGCACCUGUAAUCCCAGUUACUUGGGAGGCUGAGGCAGGAGAAUAGCUUGAACCUGGGAGGCAGAGGUUGCAGUGAGCCGAGAUCACACCACUGCACUCCAGCCUGGGCAACAGAGCAAGACUCCAUCUCAAAAAAAAAAGAAGAAGAAGAAGAAGAAGAAGAGGAAGAAGAAGAAGGAGAAGGAGAAGGAGAAGGAGAAGGAGAAGGAGAAGGAGAAGGAGAAGGAGAAGAAGAAGAAGAAGAAGAAGGAAGAAGAGGAGGAGGAGGAGGAGAAGAAGAAGAAGAAUAAUAAGAAUAAUUUUAUAGGCUGAUGGUAUGAAACCAUGGCCCAGAGAAGCAAAGCAGCUUGUCCAAGGUCAUAUAGCCAGCUAAUCGCAGGACCAGGCUGGGAAGAGUUUCACAACUCAGGCCAGUGCUGCCUCUAAUCUGUUUAUGUAUCUACUGAGUGACUCAGAACCAAAGCCAGUAAAUCCUUUAUGAGGUAACAAAGGACAGAUAUGAGGCACCUCAAAGUGGCAUGAAGAGGAAGUCCUCACAAGAUCUGGAGCCAGCCCCUAAAGAGACUUCAAUAACAGAAAAGUAAAAAUGGUCCAUAAAAGGGAAAAAGAUCAAUAUCAAAUGGUAAUGUAACUCUCCAAACAGUCGAGAGUCACACAAACAUAAAUUCAAAACAAAUAAUUC
Molecule: long non-coding RNA, 2424 nt
Filed under: Homo sapiens (human)
Lineage: Eukaryota; Metazoa; Chordata; Mammalia; Primates; Hominidae
Description: HSALNT0346295
Source: RNAcentral